CAACGAGCGCAACCCUUGUCAUUAGUUGCUACGAAAGGGCACUCUAAUGAGACUGCCGGUGACAAACCGGAGGAAGGUGGGGAUGACGUCAAGUCCUCAUGGCCCUUAUGGGUAGGGCUUCACACGUCAUACAAUGGUCGGGACAGAGGGUUGCCAACCCGCGAGGGGGAGCUAAUCUCAUAAACCCGAUCGUAGUCCGGAUUGCAGUCUGCAACUCGACUGCAUGAAGUCGGAAUCGCUAGUAAUCGCGGAUCAGCAUGUCGCGGUGAAUACGUUCCCGGGUCUU
Molecule: ribosomal RNA, 286 nt
Filed under: uncultured Alcaligenaceae bacterium
Lineage: Bacteria; Pseudomonadati; Pseudomonadota; Betaproteobacteria; Burkholderiales; Alcaligenaceae
Description: partial 16S ribosomal RNA
Rfam family: Bacterial small subunit ribosomal RNA
Source: RNAcentral